This is a long non-coding RNA of Strongylocentrotus purpuratus (purple sea urchin), 617 nucleotides long. RefSeq lists it as uncharacterized. The transcript has 3 exons. The record is from RefSeq and is a predicted model, not a curated record. Lineage: Eukaryota; Metazoa; Echinodermata; Echinoidea; Camarodonta; Strongylocentrotidae.
CGUUUAAAUAUAAUUACUAGACGGAAAGCAGCACGCGCGGAAACCAUGCAGACGAAUGUGAUUAGGCUCCGCCUCUUUUGGAUCAUUUGAAGACAAAAUAAGCACCCGAGGCGGCUUUUUGAUUGGAUAUGAGCCUCAUGAAUAUGUAUUUUAUCGAUAGUAUCGUUUAAGAAACCGGAUAAUAUAUUUGACCUCAUUGCGUCACUUUAAUUAUGCAGAUUUAUGCACGACGCAGGCUACUCGCACAAACUGAGAAGAUUUAGUUCAUUGAGAAUGGAUGGAAACUGAUGAAGAGCUGGAAGGAGUUAAAUGAUGAGUAGACAUUACAACAUUUCUUAUAUUUUCAAGAUGAAGCUGAAAGUCCCAUGCAGGAUGAUGCUUCUCUACAGUGGAUGAUGAAAGCAUGCUGAUUACAAACCCAGGAGAGGAAUAAAGAACAGAUAUUGACAGAAUCAUAUCUAUAGAUGUGGGCCUACUGCACUUCAUACAAGCAAGUGUGCUAAUAUACCAUGUAGGUACCCCCAAUAAACUAUUGUAGAACACAUUUAUCAUGCAGAAAGUUAUAGAUCUGACAAUUAUAUUUUUCAUUGUCCAUUGACUUGUAAAAGAAUACUUGA